This is a long non-coding RNA of Anolis carolinensis (green anole), 4763 nucleotides long. RefSeq lists it as uncharacterized. The record is from RefSeq and is a predicted model, not a curated record. Lineage: Eukaryota; Metazoa; Chordata; Lepidosauria; Squamata; Anolidae. The transcript is spliced from 2 exons.
AUUAUUAUUAUUAUUAUUAUUAUUAUUAUUAUUAUUACACUUUAGGCCUGGAAACACCUAUGCAUCACAAGAAUCCAGGAAUAUAAGCAAACAGUAUAUAAUGUAAAAAUCAGAAAUCAGGAAUAAGAAAGGAAAAUAUAUAAUCCAAAAAGGUUUAGUAAAAGGUGAGAACCAAACAGUAAUCCAAAUGUCUCAUAAAGUUCCAAAGGUGACAAAGUCCAGGAACAGCCAGGAAUCACAGAUACAGCAUAAGUCCACAAUCAGGAAGAUAUAACUAGUAAGGCUUGAUCAGGAGUGCAUGAACAGGAACAUAGAAAACUUCCAGGAUAUAUAAAAUCCAAAAUCAAAGCUUGACUUGAAUGAAAAACAAGAGAACUUAGGCUUAGCUUCUCACUCUAACGCAGCGUUGCCUGAACUGAUCUUAAGGUAAACAACAUGUUGCUUAAUAGACAUCAAUGAAAGCAUCCAGUUUCCCAUAAAUUUCUUUGACAACUUUCCUACGUAAUAUCUCUGGAUGACACAAUCUAUUUUCGGCUCUGAUUUGUAAACAAAGACUUGUUGAUCUCGGUAGCUGCAUGUGGGUUCCAAUGGGAGCCCUCCUUAUCACUCAGCUUUUCCCUCAAUUCCUUAUUUGUUGUUGAUCCUUCUGACUGUCCUGAAUGUCCUUGAGGUUUUGCAAUUUCUGAGCCAGUUUUCUCACAGAGAGAAUAAUCAUUUCCUCAGAUUUUCUGAAUCGUCCAUAGGAAAGUUCACAGUCCCCUCUAAAUCAUCAGUUAAACCACCAGCCUCUGGUGACUGAUCUACAACAGUUAUAUUAUAUACUAGCUGUGCCCGGCCCCGCGUUGCUGUGGUGUUGUCUGGUGGUGUCUGUAUUUUUUAGGCAGUGUGGAAGAGGCCAAAGUGAGGCCUAACUCUGCCUGUCCCCUGGGCUGAGUGGGUUGCUAGGAGACCAAGUGGGCAGAGCUUAGCCUUCUAACGAGCAGCAAUUGGAUAAAAACAAUUAUUGCUCUCCCUCCAAUUAGGACUUUAUUUUUCUUUUCUUUUUGUUGUAUCAACCUAGAGGCAUUGAUGAGGGGUUGUGCUGUCAAUUUUCGAGGUUGUGGGGUGUUUAGUUUUGUUGUUUUGUCGGUCGCCGUGAUGCCAUCACUCUUUUAUAUAUAUAGAUAAUGUUUAUAUAUGAGGCAUGGGCUGGGUCAAUAGCAGAUGGAUGGAAAGUUUUUGUGUAAACUAAUUCACACAAUCCAAAAAUAAAAUAAAAUAUUUAAAAUGAAGCAUAAUUUAACCAAUAUAAACUUAACAGUAUUUCAGUGGAAAACCCCUGGGGCUAUCUAAUCCAACCCCUUCUGCCAUGCAGGAAAAACACAAUCAAACCACCCCUAACAGAUGGUCAUCUAGCCUUUGCAAUAAUAGCCCAGGUGAACUUUGAACAAAGCAGAAUAGAGCAUGGCAGUUAAAGUGGUGUCAAGCUGCAUUCAUUCGAUGAUGCACCCUCACUGCUUCUCCACCUCAUCCUCCUCUCCUGCUCAGAGGUGGCAGUUUGGGGGUGGCAGGAGGUCUCUUCUACUCCUCCUCUUCCUCUCCUUGGUGAUAGAAGUUUCGGUGGUUGAUUCGGUGGCAGCGGCAGGAUAUGUGUGUCCCUCUUCCUCCUUGGCAGUGGCAGGUCCCUCAGUUGCAUCCUCCUUGGCAGCGGUAGCAAUAGCUUCCUCAUACUACAAGGGUUGCUUCAUGUAGAGAUCAUGUGGUUGCCAGGACCAUAUGGCCAACAUGCUGCAGUGGUUGCUAGCCCCAAAAGACUAUACCAGGAAGGGAAGAAAGUGAAGCCAGGGGAGACAUAAUGGCGGGGAGGAGGUGGGGCACCCACGGAGUGGGUGAGCAUCUCUCACAGAGCCCCAUGGGCUCUGCAGAGCAGUUUGAGAACUGCUAAAUUAGGGUAUCUACAUAAGUUAAAAUAACACACUGCAAAGCCAGCACUAGCAGUCUUCAUGGUGUAUGACAACUUUUGCUAAGAAUCCAGAGAUUAUUUUAGCCCUUAAACCUAACUUGCUCAGCAGUAAGUACAUUUGGAGAAUACUCUGAAGUUUGCAAAAAAAAAAAAAACAACACUCUGGAUGUCCUCAUGGUUUGUAGAUUGAGAGAACUGCAGCUUGAUUUGUUAUCCACCUGCACAUUUGGCUACCGUCACCCAUUCUCUGUGCUGAUCACUGCAAGAAAAGGGAUGGGUUGUCCUCGUGCUGUCAACAGUGCUCCUUGCCAGCUAGCAGCUCAGGGAGAGCCUGUCUGUUGCUUGUUGGUUUCAUCUUUUGAGAUCAUAAGAUGGGUGCGCAGGCAUGAGAUUACUCCUUCAUUGAUUGCACAGGUGCAGAGUUAUAACCCCAGUGGAUAAAACAACCAAUGACCAGGUUCCUAGAGCUGCUAGGGGUGGCAGGGAUGAUAUGAAGACAAGAAAAAGGAUCAUCAGAGGUAUCAUCUGGAUACAUGGCCCUGGAUUCAGCAGAUAUAUUCUGUAUUUAGGGCUCCUCCAGGUCACAAAUACCCCAGAUUAACCUGUCCCAUGUAGAUCUGCCCUUUGUUCCUGGAAGAUCUGUGCCAUUGCCUGAACAAAUAAGAGGGUCUUUCCUUUGACAUCUUUGUUUUUGUUUACAGUUCCUUGGCUGCUGUUUUAGGCUAUGUGGUAGGGUGGGGGAGAUAAUAUUUAGCUGGAGAUAGCAGCAAGGGCUUGCCCAACCUUUCCUAAAAUGGAGCAUCAAUCUUUAUGUUUGUGUGCACACACAUACACAAAGUAGAGCUCUACGCAACAGGUGUUGAGAUGUGUGGAGAGGGAAGGAAAUGUUCACUUUCUGCAGUACAUAAAAGAAGCUGCCUUCAUUUCAUUUCAUUUCAUUUCAGUGCAACGUACUGUGACCUUCCAGAAAUUGGCAAAAGGCAAAAUGCAGCUGUCAAUCUGGCUCAAGAGAGAAAUACAGUAGAGUCUCACUUAUCCAAGCCUUGCUUAUCCAAGCCUCUGGAUUAUCUAAGCCAUUUUUGUAGUCAAUGUUUUCAAUAUAUCAUGAUAUUUUGGUGCUAAAUUCGUAGAUACAGUAAUUACAACAUAACAUUAUUUCGUAUUGAACUACUUUUUCUGUCAAAUUUGUUGUAUAACAUGAUGUUUUGGUGCUUAUUUGUAAAAUCAUAACCUAAUUUGAUGUUUGAUAGGCUUUUCCUUAAUUCCUCCUUAUUAUCCAACAUAUUCGCUUAUCCAAGCUUCUGCCGGCCCGUUUAGCUUGGAUAAGUGAGACUCUACUGUAGUAUGCAGAAAGCAUACUAUUCCUCAUUAUGAUGAUGACUGGUGACACUAAUUCAAUCUGGGAGGGCAUGUUCAAUACCUAUGAAGCACUGACUUUAAGUAAUGCUAAGUUUUUGUAGAGCUGGUGUGAUGGCUUCAUUUCCAUUAAGGUGGAGUAAUUGUUAUGGUUGAGCCUUCUGGCUCCGGUACUAGGAGACGGGGUCGUAAGACUCCUCGAGAGUCAGACUCUUUUGAGGAGCGUGAAAGGAAACGGCUCCGGGACUUAUUUGCAGAACCAACAGAUGAAGACUCAUUUGAGGGUUUUACCGAGGGAAUGGAGGAAGAGAUGGUUAGCUCAGAGGAGGAUGACAUGGAGUGGACUCGUGUGAGGGAGGAUUUGGGUGUCACCGGCAAUGAUAGCAUGGGAGGCGAUUGGCGGGUUGCAGGAUCAGACCCAUGGACGGGCUGGAGGGAUGGAGCGGGAUCCACAGCUGGGGAUGCUGUGGGGCGUAGUCAAAGGUGUUUUAGCUCUGAUGAGGAUGAUGAUGAUGAGGCACCUGGAAUUAGGAUAGCAGCUGACAGCGAUGAGGAGUUAUGAACUGGGAUAAAAUGGGGUUUAGGAUCAAUGGCUAAUUGCGUUGGGCAAGGUAAUCUGGACGAACGCUUGGGCUCUUGUUGGGGAACUUCCUGAAGACGGGUGUGAUUCGUUGCUGGAUACCUUGGACCUCCGUCGUCUUUUUGACGGACAUUAAUUACCUACUCUGGAUUGACGCUGGACUGACUGACUGACUACGACCUCGGACUAUCCCUUCUGUGGCUUUCGGUGGAACUUGUGGAACUUUAGACGUCUGCACUUGGCUUUCGACCUUGGACCGGAUUGGGACCUUGCUGACCACCGUUACCCUGAUUGAUGUGCCUGGACCCGGAUUUCGCUCGUUGCACAGAGGAGUAAACAGCCUGAGUUACUCAUCUGUAGCUUUUGAGUAGCAGAGAGGAAUCUGCUGCCAGCUUUUUGUGUUCAUUUUGACCUUUGUUUACCAACUUUUGUUUGUUUAAAUUGCCAGGCUGAAGUAAGCACUUUUGAUUUAAUCUGGAUUAAACUCCUGUUUAAUCCGGUUUAUCCUUUCGAACCAUUUUAGUUCAAACGGAGCUGUUUCUGUUACUUUUCACACUGAAGACAAGUGUUUGCCUAGUCCUUUGUUUCCUACGGGCAUUUUUUAGUUCUGUAACUUCAAUAAACUGUGUUGUACUCUAUUUGGUGGCGUUCUGUCUUUGACAGUAAUUGUUGGGGACCAGAUAUUGGCAGUUCUACUUCCUCAGCCUAUCUUGAAUGUUUGAAGCCACAGUAUCAUUUAUCUUUAGUGCUCAAAGGAGAACAUGGUCUGGUUCUCCUAGGUUGCACCUAGACAUUCAUUUCAUUUCUUCUUUUAAUUUUAAGAGAAUGCCUUAACUGUUUUAAGCUUUGCACUGCUUUUUAACAUUUUAGAUUGCAUUUUUAAAA